This 658-nucleotide ribosomal RNA is filed under the name Coolia sp. VGO787. Its description in RNAcentral is "eukaryotic LSU rRNA". It matches the Rfam family "Eukaryotic large subunit ribosomal RNA", at positions 49 to 634 of the family's 3401-position model. The record is from RNAcentral. Lineage: Eukaryota; Dinophyceae; Peridiniales; Ostreopsidaceae.
GGCGGUGGACAACAAACCAAAUGGGAUUCUUCAAGUAAUGGCGAAUGAACUUAGAUGUGCUCAAUUUGAAAAAUGCAGUACUGCUGCUUGACGUGUAAUUUCAAAAUGUAUGACCAAGUGGCAUGCAAAUGGAAGCUCAUUGAAAGACUGUAUCAAAGAGGGUGAAAAUCCUUAUUUUCCACUUGCAUUGCUAUUGUUAUGGUGUAUGCUUCAUGAGUCACAUUCCUUGGCAUUGGAAUGCCACAUGUGUGGUAAAUUUCAUACAAAGAUCAAUAUGUGGUUGAGAUUGAUAGAACACAAGUACCAUGAGGGAAAUAUGAAAAGGACUUUGAAAAGAGAUUUAAAAGAGUUUGCAGUUGCUGAACAAAAAACAAAUGGGAUGUCCUGUAUUGAACAGAUUGUUGUGCCAUGCAUUGUAUCAGUGCAACCAUGUGUGUAAUCAAUGAGUCUUGUCUUUGAGUGCCAUGCCAAGUUUAGGUAAUCUUGACCGAUGCAUAUGUGUGCUGGUGUGCUUGUGAAUGCAUGAAAGUGUAUGAUUGACCUUGGUUUUCUAAAUGUGCAAGCUGCGUGAGGUUGCAAGCUGCUGAUGUUGAUAUUUAUGUGUGAAUUGUGUGAUGAGCCAUGUUUGACUUUUGCAUCUUAGUGGGUGCAUGUCUGC